This 707-nucleotide unclassified non-coding RNA is filed under the name Leishmania donovani. RNAcentral's name for it is "gene:unknown". Lineage: Eukaryota; Euglenozoa; Kinetoplastea; Trypanosomatida; Trypanosomatidae. The record is from RNAcentral.
ACACGCACGCGCUGGCCGCCAAACGCUUGCAAGCGUGAUUGGCGCAAGAACGUCGCAUCUUUUUGCCUGUUAGCGAGAGGGGAGGAGGCACGCAAAGCAGCGCUGUUUUCAUUGGGUCGAAUGUGCGUGCACGUUGUCCAUGCGCGUCGCGGAGACAGGGGGAGAGAGAGAGCAUGCAGGUGUGCGUGCGUGUGUGUUGACGCAUUGGUGGGCACACGCUCGCGAGUUCUCCCUUACUUUCUUUUCUCGUCUGCCGCUCCCCUCUCCCCACCCGCGGCGUGAAUUUUGCGAGCACCGUCGCUGCGUUUUUACGUCCCUUUCGAUGUUGCUGUACAUGUUGCCGUCGCUGACUUGCAAGAGAAGUGGCUGAACGCGUGUCACGGACCACGGGGCAUGCGUGUGUGUUUGUGUGUGUGUGUGAAUGUGGAACGCUCGCGAGAGCACAAAGGCGUGCAGUGGUGGCGCUGCGUGGAGGCCACUGAGCUGUGCUUUUUGCUGUAGCGCAAGGCGACGAGGGUGGACAUCUCCUUCUCUCCCGCUUGCUCUCCUCCUUAAUUGUGUGUAUCGUACACGGACACUCACAUACGCUUCUCCCUUGCUCUUUCCUCGUUUACGGGGGUGAUGUCUUCCCUGCGGCGGCUCGCUUCACUUCCGAGAGAACUGGCAAAGGCGUGCUGGCCUUUCUUCACCCCAGCCACCUCUCCACC